CUUGACAGAUGUCUGGGCAGUGUUGGUCGUCACAGAAUAUGUGUAAGAGAUUGACAAAUGCAAACUCUCAGAUCAAUGGGACCAGCACAAUGAAGACCCGUUUCCCAUCUACACAGUGACUGACAAGCAAUACAAACAGAGCAAGGACGAGAAAGACUCCUGGUUUGAGAUCAAUCCACAUGAAGCAGGUUAUUCUCUCACUGGAGCUUUUGUGGGAACCUCCAGCUUCGGCAGCCAGUUUGACAACGGCUCAAAUAAAAACCCUCAGCCUGAAAUGGACAUGCUGUACC
Molecule: long non-coding RNA, 290 nt
Organism: Sinocyclocheilus rhinocerous
Lineage: Eukaryota; Metazoa; Chordata; Actinopteri; Cypriniformes; Cyprinidae
Exons: 3
Source: RefSeq, a predicted model, not a curated record